UGUUAGGGCCUGACUUUUUGUCAUCGGGCGUGGCACGGCUGUGGCAAGGAUUUGGGCGUGAUGGCCUUGUCAUUGGCCCAUGUGCGGGCAAAACGAUCAUGCGGAAGACGGACAAGACAUUGUCAUUGAGGGCUGUUGUAGGCAAGUAUGGGCCAGGACCUUGGGACAGGCAAGGUGCGCUUGGCAAAGACUUGACAAAGCUGUGUGGGCAAUGUUAGGGCGGCAUGGCACGGCAUGCGCGCCAAAGUCAGGGGCAUGGCACUUUGGGUUGUGGCAGCUAAGUUCGGGCUAAGCUAAGACAAGACGGAAAUGCGAGAUGAUGGAAAUGGCUUUCAAUAGCUAAGGCAAAGCUAUGUGAAGGAAAAUACAAGCAAUGGCACGAGGGAAAUGAAGGUUGACAUGAGCAAGGCAGAUUUGGGCCAAGACAGUGUGCGGGCGGCAGCGGCGUCGGGCAUGUGCGGCAAAAUCACAGGCAGCGGAUGUGGGCAAGGCAUUGGCGCGGCAGCAAUGUCAAGAUGUGCCAAGGCUGGGCGCAAUGCCAGCCUUGGGCACGAAUCAGCUGGCCAAGUGAAGAAUGGCACAUGCAAUGCACAUGGAAAGUAGUUGGCGGUUACCUUGUCAUAACCUCUUUGUCCCAUGAUCUGAUCAUGCUUGUAUAAUGUUCCCAUUUCGUGUAUAAUGUGUCCUAAGUAGUUGGGGAUGUCAACUACAUGUUAGGAGCAGAAUUAGUCUUAGUCCGACAAGUGGCAAAAGCUGUAGACAACAAGUGUUACGUGCUGCCAAGUCUAAGGGCUGCCUAUAUUCUAUAAAUAGGACCUUUGUGACUUAGGCAGAAGUAA
This 839-nucleotide long non-coding RNA is filed under the name Nicotiana tabacum (common tobacco). RNAcentral describes it as "long non-coding RNA (NTAB_LNC012040)". The record is from RNAcentral. Lineage: Eukaryota; Viridiplantae; Streptophyta; Magnoliopsida; Solanales; Solanaceae.